GUAGAAACCCAUCCACCUGUUUAUUCACUGAUGACCCAGGAGAUUCUAUACGACCUCCCAUGCUUCAUGGAUUAGUUUCUGCACAAGGACUAGAGCAUGGGAGGUCAUAUAGAAUCUCCUGGGGCAUCAGUGGAUAAUGAGGUGCAUGGGUUUCUGC
Marchantia polymorpha subsp. ruderalis is the source of this 157-nucleotide non-coding RNA. NCBI's taxonomy places the organism in Eukaryota, Viridiplantae, Streptophyta, Marchantiopsida, Marchantiales, Marchantiaceae. The record is from the annotation of a GenBank genome assembly.